UGCCCCGCUUCUUCCCUGCGCCGCGGCCGCGCGUGCGGCUGCCUAAGCGUUCCCGGCCCUGUCUGGUGCAUUCCCCCUGCUGCUGCCCGGUCGGCCGAGAAAGUUCCGGGCGACAGGUGGCCCGAGGCCCUCGAGCUGCGCGGACAGAGCGGCCCCGGAGUCGCGAGCGUGACGGGCUUGCUUGGAGGGCACUUGGUGGCCGGUAGCACCAUAAAGGCCAUAAUUUGGUGUGUGGGUGUGGGGGUGUGUGUGUUAACGGCAUUGGUUUGAUUCACACUUCUGAUGAAAGAAGCCUGUUUAAAAAAGAAAAGAAAAAAGAAGCCUGUUUAAAGGGUGCAGGGUGUUACGAUUGUUAACGUGCAGUGGGCAGUUCACCUGCUACGCUAUCCAACAGGCGCCCUGCUCAGGCCCGACCUCGCACUGCCGCGCGGGCCGGUCCCCCCCGGCCCGGGUAACUGGGACGUCCUGGGAAAAUAAAUUAAUCACGUACGGAGUGAGAGAACAGGAAACCUGCCGAGAAAAAGAUCGAUAAGCAGACAAUUACACCAAGCCAACUUCAGUGCAAUCGUUAAAGCUUACACAUGGGUGCACGCUUGGGAGCCGUGAGCUACCAUGUUAAAAGGCCAACUUCCUAAGGAAAAAUGAUGGAAAGAGAUCCCGAGAUCCUAUGAAAUGGAAGAGGGAGGACAACCCAGCUAUCCCAACAUCCCAGCUGAGGCCAGCCACACACGUGACUGUCUGCAAAGCCCGUCGGGCCUGGGUCCAGCUCAGGUUGCAGAAUUGUUGGCAAGUAAAACGUUUGUUGUCGUUCUGACUCAAAAACAUGGAGACAAAGCAGACUUGUAGGGUAUUACAGUCAACAACUAGACCCUACAGCUAAAGGACUGUCUCCUUGCAUGAUGCAACAACCAUCACAGCUCUGCAAGAGCAACCAAACCACCAAGGAUGCGAUCACCCCUCACUGCCUUCGAUACGCAUUCUGUGGAAACGCUUCUAAACUUGCAUCACACUCAACACGAUCAGUUAGUAACUGGCUUCUCAUGAAGUUAUUCUCUCAGCCGCAUACUACAAUGUCCAGAUGUCAUCUAAAUCCUGCCACCCUCUCCCCCACCUUCAGCUGAAACGCUGCAUGACUGCAUCAUCUUACCUGACCAGCUCUCUCCUAGGACAGACAUGCAAGAACCCCCCUCACUAACGCUGAUGUUAUUUGGUUUACAGAUGGCUCUUACUUAAAGAUGCAGCUGG
Molecule: long non-coding RNA, 1245 nt
Filed under: Homo sapiens (human)
Lineage: Eukaryota; Metazoa; Chordata; Mammalia; Primates; Hominidae
Description: non-protein coding lnc-ATP11A-2:1
Source: RNAcentral